This is a long non-coding RNA of Siniperca chuatsi (mandarin fish), 4382 nucleotides long. RefSeq lists it as uncharacterized. The transcript has 3 exons. The record is from RefSeq and is a predicted model, not a curated record. NCBI's taxonomy places the organism in Eukaryota, Metazoa, Chordata, Actinopteri, Centrarchiformes, Sinipercidae.
GGAUGCUUUCUAUUGCUCCUCUGUAAAAGUUAACAAGAACUUGGCACGGGAACUUUCUUAAGUUAAGAAAUACAGCUGUUUCUGAGCUUUCUUUACUAGCGUGGAGAUGUGAGAGGACCAUGACAGGUUCUCCGUGAAGCCGAUUCCCAGGCACUUAAAACUGUUCACCUGCUCCACCUCAGCUCCACUGAUGUAGACAGGGGUGUGUGUCUUUGUCUCCUUUUUCCUAAAAUCAACUAUCAGCUCCUUGGUUUUGCUGACGUUGAGCAGUAGGUUGUUCUCUGUGCACCACUCUGCAAGUUGUUGAUUUCCUCCUGAUAUGAAGUCUCAUCGUUGUUUGUAAUCCAGCCGAUGAUGGUAGCGUCAUUUGCAAACUUCACAAGAGAGUCAUGGGUGUACAUCGUGAACAUGAGGGUGCUGAGCACACAGCCCUGGGGGGCUCCGGUGUUGAGCACUAGAGUGGAGGAGGUGUGACCGCCAAUCCGAACUGACUGGGGUCUGUUUGAAUGCUGAGCUGAAAUCAAUAAACAGCAUACUGAUGUAGGUGUUGUUAUUUUCAAGAUGUGUGAUCGCUGAGUGGAGGGUAGUGGAGAUGGCAUCCUCUGUGAAUCUGUUGGUUCUGAAUUCAAACUGGUGAGGGUCCAGGCAGACUGGGAUGUUGUCUUUGAUAUGCAGGAGAAAAAGCACUUCAUCAGAAUGGGGGUGAGAGCCACAGACGUUUAGAGCAAUAGACGUUUAGACUAGACACUGCAGACUUUUUAUUCACUUUCAGCAGGAUUCUUCUCACAUCCGCUGUGGAUACUGGACAGUGGCCGGACCUCUGAAGGCGGAGUAGUCUUGACAGCUGACUCUGUGUUGAGGAGAUCAUAACGAGCACAAAAUGUAUUUAGCUCAUCUGGUAAUGUGGCCUCACACAUGAUGGGGGCGCUCCUGCUUUUGUAGCCUGUGAUGGUCUGGAUCGCCUGCCACAUAUUUGGUGUUGUUGGUCUCUCUCCAGUCUGUCCUGAUGUCUCAGCUUUGCCUCCUUGAUGCUAGUUUUCAGUCUUGCUCUGGCGGUGCUGUAAGCUUUCUUGUCACCUGAACAAAAGGCAGCUUUUUGGCUCUGAGUAGAGCUCUCACCUCUCCAUUCAUUCAGGCUUUCUGGUUGAGGAAUGAUUUCAGUGUCUUUGUGAUCACUACAUCAUCAACACAUUUGCUGAUGUAUGAUGUCACUAAUGAUGUAUAUUCCUCAGGUUGAUGUGGUUCUCCUGGGACAGAACAGUCCUGUAGAGCUUCUGUAGCUUCAUCUGUCCACACUUUAACUGUUUUUACUGAUGGUUUGACCCUUUUACUCAGCUGGGAGUAAGCAGGCAGGAGAAGCAGAGAAGUGUGGUCUGAUUGACCAAAGUGGGGGCGGGGGAGGGCUUUGUAGCUGCGAGAAAUGUUUGUACAAACAUGGUCCAGGGUAUUACUUCCCCUGGUGGGGGUGGACAUGCUGAUGGAAUUUAGGUAAAAUAGUUCUGAGGUCUGUUUGAUUAAAAUCACCAACUACAAUAAAAACACCAUCUGGUUGUUUUGUCAUGUGACUGCUGAUGACCUCAUACAGUUCCUGCAGUGCAUUUUUGAAUUUGUAUCUGGGGUAAUGUAAACAACAGCAACAAAAACACUGGUGAAUUCACUGGGCAGAUAAGUGCUUUGCACUGCAGGGAUUGCUGGCCGCUGGCACAAACGGGGGCCGCCGAGGAUUGCAGAACACUAACCCAUGGAUUUGAAGCACUUUGAUCCACCAUAGACACUCUGAUGAAUAGGAGAGUUUGGCGAUCCAUCAGUGACAAACAGGAAAACGAAAUGAACAACACACAGGACAGAGGAGGUGAUGAAGGCAAACUUCAGCAGGCUGACGACUUCACACCACGGUGACCUCUGACCUUCUGUCAGCAUGGCCAACAGGGAGCCGGAGAUGAUGAGGAGGGAGCAGCCUUCACAACACAGAGAGGGAUUAAAGAAGCUAUUGGGGCUUUUUCCGAAAGACUCAGAGAGGUCCGCAUCAGCACGGCGGAGGACUAAAUCACAUCACUAUCAACGGAUGCAUCCGCAACACGGAGCAAUGACCAAAAGCUUACCUUCAAUAUGGAGGCGAUAGAUAACCUGAGACUGGUUGGAUUGCCUGGGUUGGAGAACGGAGACGCAGUAACAUUUUUAGUGGCUACCCGAGGCUACCUCUUAACACGGAUGCAGAACCACCAGUUACCAUCAAGCAGGCCUAUAGAAUAGGCAAGCUGGCCCAAAACUGGGACAAGGCCCAGGGGACAUUGCCGCAGAUUCUCCUUGUGAAAUUUCUGAUGUACCGAGACAAAGACAGAGUAAUGCGAGCAGCGCGUCGUCUUCAGGACAGCCUCGUUAUGUCCUUCCCGGACCUAUCAGCUGAAGUUCAAAAGCAGCUGAAACUUGUCGACAGGCUGAACCAAGGACUGCGUGAUCUGGAUUCUCAAGAGAUACACAAGUAUCCGCUGCUACUAGGGGCCUUUCUGUGUGGCGAUUAAGCCCACGAUAGUUGCAUGAUAAAAACUUCUUAAAAUUUGUUGAAAUAAAUGUUGAUACUUAUUUUCAGUUAAAGUUAACUAAAAACUUCAGCAUCAGUUACAUGGGAGGCAUUUAAAGCCUUUAUCUGAGGGCAAAUGAUCAGGUGACAUCAACACAUGACAUGAGAGAAGAGUUUGGCAAAGCUGUGCCAGAUUUAUUCAAGAUGCCUAACUGCCCUUGAAGGGGUGUGUGUGUGUGUGUGUGUGUGUGCUUGGAUCACACCCAUCUUCGAACUCAGCCUUCAUUUUGACCUCAACUACACAUCUGUAAAGUUGCGUAAGUCGGAGGAAGGGACAAGAAUAAUAAAUCCACAAGAAAUGAAUAAUGUUUUUCAGGAGCUAAAGAUUCUCCAGUUGAACUAUCAGAGCUGUCAGAGGCCAUAUUUAUAAAAAGUUCAAGGACAAACUCCUUGUCCCAUUAUUAGACAUGUUUGAAGAAUCGGUUGAAAGGGGUCAGCUGCCACUAAAAUGAAAACCAGGGAAACCCUCCACAAAGUGUCCAUCCUUCCACCACCAUUUCUCUCAUCAACUCUGAUGUGAAAAUAAUAGCAAAUGUUCUUGCACAGAGAUUUGAGAAACACCUGCCAUCUAUUGAGGCUUUAGAUCAAAAUGGUUUUAUUAAAAGAAGACAAGGCUUCAUUAUAUACGAGUGUUGAACAUCAUACAUGCGAAGAAAGAAGCACCAGAUACGGCCGUGGCAGGACUUGAUGCUGAAAAAGCCUUUGAUAGGAUUCAACAUAAAGUGCUCGCUCAUUUUGGAGUUGGCAGUUACUUACUCAACUGGAUCAAAAUUUUAUAUUAUGAUUCAAGAGCAUCCGUAAUGACCAAAUAUAUAGUAUCUAUACAGUUUUCUCUUUACAGAGGCACCAUUACUUUUUGUUCUAGCCAUUGAGCCUUUAGUUAUUGGAAUUAGAGACAACAACAGGAUAGCAGGUAUUAAAAUGAAUGAUUUUGAGAAUAAAGUAGGAUUGUAUGCUGACGAUAUUUUUUGUGACAGAUUUAAAACAUUAAUAGACCAAGCAAGUCAAGUUGGGUUGAUGGAUUGUUGCAAUGUCUGGCUAUGGAGAUCUAUAGUAAAGGGGAAAUACAACACUUUUGAAAAGAUUUGGGGGUCAUUCAUGACAUUUCUGGAAGGGGAAGAUUUUGCUGAGGCCUUGCAAUUAACUGCUGUUUAUUUUUAUUAUCAUUUUGACUUUUGAGCGGUUAUGUGAUUAUUAAGUGUCGGAUCAUUUCUUUUUAUCCACCAAGAUGUGAUUUUAGUACCUGGUCAACAAGUACGACAGCAGAACUUCCAUUAUAUUCAAAGUGCCUUUAUGUGUUUUGUUUAGGUGUGCCUUUUUUUGUGCCUUUUAUGUUCACUGUGAAGUGUAUGUUUUUCUAUGGCAUGUGGAAAAUACAAUAAACAUAUCCGAUAAUGAAUAUUGACAUACUGAACGGGAUAUAUGAAAAAUAAAGACAACAAAUGUGUGAAUUUACAGCUUAUGUACAGGUUGUGUGGAUAUGGACUGAAUUCAAUUUUUUUCCUAAGACCUACAGAACAUAUACAGAGAUGAUUGAACAAUCAGUCCAGAAGACAAAGACAAAGCAACUGAUGGAUGGUGUGUGUUUUAGUUGGCACUGGUGCAGUAUUCUCCUUAUUUACCAGCUACUGAAUGUAAAUUAAAGUGAUCAGGUGAGAUGGUCUCAGACUGAUGACAUCAGACCAUUAUUCUUAUCUUCCAGCCCCGAUGUUUUCACACAGACGAAGCCAGUUUACUCAUGCAUGGGCACAGGCAGGGUUAAAUCUCAACCUCAGUCUUACAGUAUUUGAUAUUUGAUAGA